This 632-nucleotide ribosomal RNA is filed under the name uncultured Laccaria. Its description in RNAcentral is "eukaryotic LSU rRNA". The stretch from base 223 to 376 matches the Rfam family "5.8S ribosomal RNA". The record is from RNAcentral. Lineage: Eukaryota; Fungi; Basidiomycota; Agaricomycetes; Agaricales; Tricholomataceae.
UCCGUAGGUGAACCUGCGGAAGGAUCAUUAUUGAGUAAACCUGAUGUGGCUGUUAGCUGGCUUAGGCAUUUGUGCUCGUCCAUCAUCUUUAUAUCUCCACCUGUGCACAUUUUGUAGACUUGGAUAAUGGCUCUGUCAUUUACAAGACUAUGUUUUAUAUACCCAAAGCAUGUUUAAAGAAUGUCAUCAAUAGGAACUUGUUUCCUAUAUUAGAAACUAUACAACUUUCAGCAAUGGAUCUCUUGGCUCUCGCAUCGAUGAAGAACGCAGCGAAAUGCGUUAAGUAAUGUGAAUUGCAGAAUUCAGUGAAUCAUCGAAUCUUUGAACGCACCUUGCGCUCCUUGGUAUUCCGAGGAGCAUGCCUGUUUGAGUGUCAUUAAAUUCUCAACCUUUCCAUUAAUUUGGUUUGGCUUGGAUGUGGGGGUUGCAGGCUUCAUUUGACUAUGAGGUCAGCUCUCCUUAAAUGCAUUAGUGGAACUUUUGUUGACCAUCUAUUGGUGUGAUAUCUAUCUACACUGUGGAUGUGAAGCAGUGUUCAGCUUCUAACCGUCUAUUAUUGACUUUACUUGACCAUUUGACCUCAAAUCAGGUAGGACUACCCGCUGAACUUAAGCAUAUCAAUAAGCGGAGGA